UACAGAGGUCUCAACCGUUGUUCGGAUUCAUUGGGCGUAAAGGGCGCGUAGGCGGCUUUAUAAGUCGGGGGUGAAAGCCUGUGGCUCAACCACAGAAUUGCCUUCGAUACUGUAGAGCUUGAGACCGGAAGAGGUAAGUGGAACUGCGAGUGUAGAGGUGAAAUUCGUAGAUAUUCGCAAGAACACCAGUGGCGAAGGCGGCUUACUGGUCCGGUUCUGACGCUGAGGCGCGAAAGCGUGGGGAGCAAACAGG
RNAcentral lists this ribosomal RNA (253 nucleotides) under uncultured bacterium. Its description in RNAcentral is "partial 16S ribosomal RNA". It matches the Rfam family "Bacterial small subunit ribosomal RNA", at positions 524 to 776 of the family's 1533-position model. The record is from RNAcentral.